GCUUGUCUCAAAGAUUAAGCCAUGCAUGUUCAAGUAUAGCAAGUGUACAGUGAAACUGCGAAUGGCUCAUUAAAUCAGUUAUAAUUUAUUUGAUAGUGAAAUUGUACAUGGAUAACCGUGGCAAUUCUAGGGCUAAUACAUGCGUCAAUGGUCGGUCGACCAGUAUUUAUUAGAUACAAAACCAAUACGGAGCAAUCCGUUUCUUGGUGAUUCAUAAUAACUUUGCGGAUCGCAUGGCCUUGUGCCGGCGAUGAAUCAUUCAAAUUUCUGCCCUAUCAACUUUCGAUGGUAAGGUAUUGGCCUACCAUGGUUACCACGGGUAACGGGGAAUUAGGGUUCGGUUCCGGAGAGGGGGCCUGAGAAAUGGCCACCACAUCCAAGGAAGGCAGCAGG
RNAcentral lists this ribosomal RNA (393 nucleotides) under uncultured fungus. Its description in RNAcentral is "partial small subunit ribosomal RNA". It matches the Rfam family "Eukaryotic small subunit ribosomal RNA", at positions 30 to 432 of the family's 1831-position model. The record is from RNAcentral. Lineage: Eukaryota; Fungi.